RNAcentral lists this ribosomal RNA (253 nucleotides) under uncultured bacterium. Its description in RNAcentral is "partial 16S ribosomal RNA". It matches the Rfam family "Bacterial small subunit ribosomal RNA", at positions 524 to 776 of the family's 1533-position model. The record is from RNAcentral.
UACAGAGGUCCCAAGCGUUGUUCGGAUUCACUGGGCGUAAAGGGUGCGUAGGUGGUUGUGCAAGUCUGAUGUGAAAUCCCGGGGCUCAACCCCGGAACUGCAUUGGAUACUGCCUUGCUAGAGUACUGGAGAGGGAACUGGAAUUUACGGUGUAGCAGUGAAAUGCGUAGAGAUCGUAAGGAAGGCCAGUGGCGAAGGCGAGUUCCUGGACAGUGACUGACGCUGAGGCACGAAGGCCAGGGGAGCAAACGGG